GCCCGCCCACCCAGCCCAUGGCUCCAGGCCCACCUGGCGAACUGACUCUCAGCCCGCGCCUGGGCUAAGCCUGGCUAGGAGCCGCGCAGGUACUCGAGCAGUGGGCGCCCAGGGUCCGAGUGCUCUGCGCCCAGCGCACCGAGGGAGCCAAGGCCGUCGGGCCGGCGCUUUCAGCUGUCUCUCGCAGCAGCUCAGGGCCGCGCCCCCUGGGCUGGCGUCGUGCCCUAGCCAAGGAGAAGGUGGGCACCGGAACGUGGCCGCAGCGCUUAUCUGUGAAUUUCAGUCACGUGCCAGACUUUUUCUUAAUUACAAACUGAUAGAUGGUCCACAUCUCAACUAACAGUAUUGACGCUGUAAGAGCAUCAGAUUUGAAACAUAUCUGUAUUAAUGAAGAGUGACUGCAUGCAAACGACAAUAUGUCAGGAAAGAAAAAAAGAUCCCAUAGAAAUGUUUCAUUCUGGACAGCUGGUAAAAGUCUGUGCCCCAAUGGUUCGAUAUUCAAAGUUGGCUUUUAGGACACUAGUAAGAAAAUAUAGUUGUGAUCUGUGUUACACACCAAUGAUUGUUGCCGCUGAUUUUGUCAAAUCUAUAAAAGCCAGAGACAGCGAAUUUACCACAAAUCAAGGUGAUUGCCCAUUGAUUGUUCAGUUUGCUGCUAACGAUGCAAGACUUUUAUCUGAUGCUGCUCGUAUAGUCUGUCCUUAUGCGAAUGGAAUAGACAUUAACUGUGGUUGCCCUCAGAGGUAAAGCUCAAAGAAGUUGGAAGAAUUUUCCAAAAGAGUAGAAAAAAAACUGUGUGAACAUGGUGGGCAAUGGCAGAAGGUUAUGGGGCUUGCUUAAUAAACAAGCCAGAGCUUGUUCAAGACAUGGUGAAACAAGUAAGAAAUCAAGUGGAAACCCCUGGAUUUUCAGUUUCUAUUAAAAUAAGGAUCCAUGAUGACCUUAAAAGAACUGUAGAUCUUUGUCAAAAGGCUGAAGCAACAGGAGUUUCAUGGAUUACAGUCCAUGGAAGAACUGCUGAAGAAAGACAUCAGCCAGUGCACUAUGAUUCCAUUAAAAUAAUUAAGGAAAAUAUGUCUAUACCUGUAAUUGCUAAUGGAGACAUCAGAAGCUUAAAGGAAGCAGAAAAUGUGUGGCGGAUUACUGGGACAGAUGGUGUGAUGGUUGCAAGAGGACUCUUAGCAAACCCGGCCAUGUUUGCUGGAUAUGAGGAAACCCCACUGAAAUGCAUCUGGGACUGGGUUGACAUUGCUCUUGAACUCGGGACUCCUUACAUGUGUUUCCAUCAACAUUUAAUGUACAUGAUGGAAAAGAUAACUUCAAGGCAGGAAAAAAGGGUAUUUAAUGCUCUGUCAAGCACAUCAGCAAUCAUAGAUUACCUUACAGACCAUUAUGGCAUUUGACUAGACUUCCCAAAUAAUUUUAAUAUAUACUUUUAGACCCACAGUGAAACCACAGAAGGUCAUAUUUUGUACCUUAAACCAGUAGCUCUCAAAUUUUAGUAUAAAAACAAUUCCUGGGAGCGUUUUUUAAAAAUCAGUUGUAGACACCACCCUCAGAGAUUCUGAUUAGGUAGAUCUGGAGUAGACCCAGAAAUACACAGUUUAAAGAAAACUCCCAGUGGUUCAAACAUCCUGAUCAUCCUAGGCAAACAUUGACAAAUACUGCUCUGAAUCCUGUUCUAUAGAUAUUGGGGGGAUGGGUAGAGUGGGAAUUUUUUCCUAAUCAUGUUUUUAACAUUUUAAAAUAAAAUUUAAUACUAAGAAAUUAUGGCUUAUAGUAUCUAUAAAUUAACAAGAAGUAUGCAGGUGCAAAAAAGUGGUGGAACAAAUACCAACAUCCAUCCAAAAUGAAAAAGAACAGGAAAUUCUGAAUAGAAUUGCACUCAGAACUUAUAUUAAAAAUUCCAUUUGGUUAAUGACAUUAAAUUUGGUACAUUUCAAAACUUCUAGGUCCUCCAAAGAUUGAAAGCUUAAUAAUCUCCUACCUAAAAAGAUAAAAUUAAUUGCAAUCUACCAUAUCUUAAGUAUAGGAAAUUUGGUGUCCAACCUGGAGAUGAUUAUAUAUUUGAAAUAUUUCCUAGAGAAUAGUAACCAGGUUUUGUUUUUAACUUUAAAACCUAAUUACUUUUGUGCCUCUCAGCCGUUGAUUGUAACUUUAAAGUCCCAUGGUUUUGGAGUGUUAUUAAUAGAUUUUGUUAUCGGUGGGCAUGCACUGCAAGAAUUAAGUAUCUCAGACUGAAAUAAAACCGUUCAUAAUUAAAGUAUUAUUUUGUUUUGCCAACAUGAAAACUGUUAUAAGGAAACAAUUAUGUAAAACUGUUUAAUUCACGUUUGGGAAUAUUGAAUGAAUCCAUUUUAACAUAA
Molecule: RNA transcript, 2366 nt
Organism: Homo sapiens (human)
Lineage: Eukaryota; Metazoa; Chordata; Mammalia; Primates; Hominidae
Gene: DUS4L
Gene name: dihydrouridine synthase 4 like
Exons: 8
Source: RefSeq, marked validated